AAAACCUUACCCAGAGCCAGGCAAACACUCACUCACAUCCUCAGUGGCUUUGUGAAUCCAGGUCUGCCAAGACAACUCCACCCACCCCUUCUCUCUCUGCAAAAAGUGAACAAACUAGCACAGAGAAACAUAAAGAAGACCAAACCUCAGCUGUGAAACAUUUCAGCAGAUCAGUAAUGGCCUGGAUCAGUAAUAUCUCCUGGUUAAACCACCUUGCUCUACAGGAAGAACGUUUCAGGGGGUACUUAAACAGCACUGAGGAUUACUUAGCCUUCCUAUGUGGGCCCAGACGGAGCCACCUGUUCCUGCCCAUGGCUUUGGUGUACACCCUGAUCUUCAUUGUUGGGGUGGUGGGGAACUUCUUAGUUUGCCUCGUAAUCCUCAAGCACCAGAACAUGAAGACCCCAACCAAUUAUUACCUCUUCAGUCUGGCAGUCUCAGACCUGCUCGUGCUGCUUUUCGGGAUGCCACUGGAAGUCUACGAGAUGUGGAGCAACUACCCCUUCCUGUUCGGGCCCGUCGGCUGCUACCUGAAGACGGCGCUCUUUGAGACUGUGUGCUUUGCCUCCAUCCUCAGCGUGACCACGCUCAGCGUGGAGAGGUACAUUGCCAUCCUCCACCCCUUCCGUGCCAAGCUGAAGAGCACCCGCAGGCGAGCCCUGAGGACCAUCCUGGCGCUCUGGGUCCUCUCUGUCCUCUUUGCCCUCCCCAACACGGGCACCCAUGGCAUCAUGCUGCAGCAUUUCCCCAACGGCACCCUGGUCCCCGGCUCUGCUACCUGCACUGUGGUCAUGCCCUUGUGGAUCUACAACUGUAUUGUCCAGAUUACUUCUCUUCUCUUCUAUGCGCUGCCCAUGGGGGUAAUAAGUGUGCUGUACUAUCUGAUGGGGCUAAGAUUGAAAGGAGAUGAAACUUUGGAAGUAGAGGAAAUGGCUGUGAAUGUUCAGAGACCAUCCAGGAAAUCAGUCACAAAGAUGUUGUUUGUCCUCGUGAUAGUUUUUGCUAUCUGCUGGGCUCCAUUCCAUAUAGAUCGACUUUUCUUCAGCUUUGUUGUGGAAUGGACUGAGCCUUUGGCUAACACAUUCAACUUAAUUCAUGUGGUCUCAGGUGUUUUCUUCUACCUGAGCUCUGCCACGAACCCCAUCAUUUACAACCUGUUGUCUCAGCGCUUCAGGAUGGCUUUCCUCAGUGUGAUUUCUCCUUGCUGCAAGCACUGGGCUCCUGAACAUCCCACUUGCAAGAUUUCUGCCCAGAAGAGCAUGUUUGUGAUUGAGGGUCACAAUCUCAUGGACUCUGCUGAAUACAUGAGUGCCCCUGGCACACACAGGACAUCUGUCAGCAGUUCUCAACUCUCCACUGGUCUGUGACUUUCCAUGUGAUGAUCCAGGUGAGAGAGGAGUUAAAGAAAAUUGCUUUAAGAAAACAAAAAGAGAAGAGACCUUCCUAAAAGACUGAUUUCAGCAAGAAAAGAUUGGAGAGGUGUUUCAUUGAGUAAAUUAAGGAGAAGAUUGUAUUUAACAUCUGUUUGAGAAGCAUUAUAUUACACUCAAGCUAAUAGUAGGGAUGGGACUCUCAGCUUGCUCACUGCAAGCUGUGCCAGUGAAGAGCUGCUUUUAAAAAGCGAGACACACUCCCAAUGUUACCAGCACAGGAGAGAGACGCAGCUUAGCCAGGUCAAUGGCUUUUUGUGCACCAACCUAAACAUCAGCGUUUACUUACUUUGAAAUGAGGCAACUUGCUGCAUAAGCCUUAUCUAUCUAGGUUUGGGUAAGCCAGUCCCACUUCUGUCUCCUAUGACCUUCUCGAGGUAUGGCUGUUGCAAACCUCUCUUGUCAACAUGAGCAAGUAGGCAAGAACGAGAGUAGCUCUGAGCUGGGCUGAUAGGCAUCAGAAACCAGCAAUAGCUAUUUCUGGGCCAGAAGAAUCAGGGAGCCAGUAAUUGUAAAAUAAAUGCAAAGUGAAACCUUUGCUUUCUGAGCAAGGUAAAGAUCUGGGUGGGGGGGAGUGAUUAAUGCAGCUGGUGGGGGAUAUCUGCCCAGGAAAUGUGCAUCAGACAGUUUUAUUUUUGCCCAUCCACCUGUGCGUGUACAAAUGGGUAGAUCCCUGCUAUGCCCCAUCUCCUGCAGUUUGUAAGAACUUCUUAUCAUUGCUUCAACUUCAGAUACUUAUGUGUUGUCUCCACCAGUGGAGCCUUGUAGUGCUUCAGCAGAUUUCACACCUGCCUGUACCAGGUGGAUUGCAAAGUCAGAGAUCUACAUGGAUCCAGGAAACAGCCUGGACAACAUUGACAACACAGGGAACUGGGGCAAACCUAAUACAAAGUGUGUGAGCAGAAAGUGUGGACAGCAGGGGCAGCACUGUGAACAAAACACGAAUAGUCUGAAAUGUACUGCAAGGAAACACUCAAAGGAAAGAAGAAUUGUGUUCAUUACUAGUGAGUGAUACUCUGAUCUAAUGCCAGAUUCAGUUGGAAAAGACACCAUGACAGCAGGUGGACAAUUCUGCUGAGUUUAUCCGAAGAGUUUUUGAACACUACUGUGUUUUGAAGUGUUUCAACCACAGCUUACCAGUAAAACU
This is an RNA transcript of Corapipo altera (White-ruffed manakin), 2577 nucleotides long. It is a transcript of the gene named neuromedin U receptor 2, with no coding region annotated. The transcript has 5 exons. NCBI's taxonomy places the organism in Eukaryota, Metazoa, Chordata, Aves, Passeriformes, Pipridae. The record is from RefSeq and is a predicted model, not a curated record.